CCCUUAGAUGUUCUGGGCCGCACGCGCGCUACACUGAUGCAUUCAACAAGCCUAGCCUUGACCGAGAGGUCCGGGUAAUCUUUGAAACUGCAUCGUGAUGGGGCUAGAUUAUUGCAAUUAUUAAUCUUCAACGAGGAAUGCCUAGUAAGCGUGAUUCAUCAAAUCGCGUUGAUUACGUCCCUGCCCUUUGUACACACCGCCCGUCGCUCCUACCGAUUGAAUGUGUUGGUGAGGAGCUCGGAUUGGCAGCAGUUGGUGGUUCGCCACCGGCUAAUGCUGAGAAGUCCUCCAAACCGCCCCAUUUAGAGGAAGGAGAAGUCGUAACA
RNAcentral lists this ribosomal RNA (326 nucleotides) under uncultured eukaryote. RNAcentral describes it as "partial 18S ribosomal RNA". It matches the Rfam family "Eukaryotic small subunit ribosomal RNA", at positions 1470 to 1796 of the family's 1831-position model. The record is from RNAcentral.